Molecule: long non-coding RNA, 211 nt
Filed under: Solanum tuberosum (potato)
Lineage: Eukaryota; Viridiplantae; Streptophyta; Magnoliopsida; Solanales; Solanaceae
Description: long non-coding RNA (STUB_LNC009864)
Source: RNAcentral
GCUCAAAUUCAUGGUACCGACAAUUGAUUUUAUGAAAGGUAUAAAUUCUCUAUACUUUGUGAUGUGUGGCUGAAACCCCAAUCUCUUGGGGUGUGAUUAUGGGGUUGGAUAGUAAUUUAACUUAGUGAAUGUGUUGAAUUGCUCUAUUUUAUAUCUUUUUAUCAUAGAUUUGAUCUGUUACCAUGUGCAUAAAGCAUGAAUUAAGGUGGCC